Molecule: ribosomal RNA, 465 nt
Filed under: Vreelandella stevensii
Lineage: Bacteria; Pseudomonadati; Pseudomonadota; Gammaproteobacteria; Oceanospirillales; Halomonadaceae
Description: partial 16S ribosomal RNA
Rfam family: Bacterial small subunit ribosomal RNA
Source: RNAcentral
CCUAGGGUGGGCUGCAGUGGGGAAUAUUGGACAAUGGGCGAAAGCCUGAUCCAGCCAUGCCGCGUGUGUGAAGAAGGCCUUCGGGUUGUAAAGCACUUUCAGUGGGGAAGAAAGCCUUGGGGCUAAUACCCUCGAGGAAGGACAUCACCCACAGAAGAAGCACCGGCUAACUCCGUGCCAGCAGCCGCGGUAAUACGGAGGGUGCGAGCGUUAAUCGGAAUUACUGGGCGUAAAGCGCGCGUAGGCGGUCUGAUAAGCCGGUUGUGAAAGCCCCGGGCUCAACCUGGGAACGGCAUCCGGAACUGUCAGGCUAGAGUGCAGGAGAGGAAGGUAGAAUUCCCGGUGUAGCGGUGAAAUGCGUAGAGAUCGGGAGGAAUACCAGUGGCGAAGGCGGCCUUCUGGACUGACACUGACGCUGAGGUGCGAAAGCGUGGGUAGCAAACAGGAUUAGAUACCCGAGUAGUC